Molecule: long non-coding RNA, 799 nt
Organism: Pogonomyrmex barbatus (red harvester ant)
Lineage: Eukaryota; Metazoa; Arthropoda; Insecta; Hymenoptera; Formicidae
Source: RefSeq, a predicted model, not a curated record
CCUAUACAUGCAUUAUGUACAUAUUUUUUAGAUACAAGCUAAAAAUUAAGGCUCGGUUUUCUUGCGGCGCAACUAGUUCUAGUAAUCUAGUGAUUUCUGAUAGUCGAACAGUGUAUCAUUUCAGAUUUAUUUUUUAUUCCUGAACUUCUUGAACAUGUGCAAGAAGUAUACAUUAAGAAGUGUACAUUAAAACAUUUCUAUUUCCGAAAUGACGUCAACAAUACUAUUCGUUAUUCCAGUGCAACAGAACUUCACACAGUACACGAAUUCACUGAACUGGCUGCACUGGAUUUAGAGUUAAUACAAGCAGUACAGGGCAAAUGAAUUCAAUCAAUAGUGAUAUAUGUUCCAUGAUCAUUAUUUUCAAGUCUUUAUAAUACCGAAUUCCUGCAGAUUGAAAAACAUAAUUCGAAAAAUUGUUUAACGAUCAAGACAAUAGACAAGGGACAAACAAUAGCACACAGGUUCUCCUUCUUGUAAGAAAUUGUAUCUUGAAAUUGUAUUUGUAAGAAUUAAGAUAUUUAUUAUUUAAGAAUAAUGUUAUUUAAUAAUUGUUAUUUAAGAAUUAAGAUAUUUGUUAUUUAAGAAUAAUCUCGAAGGAGAAAAGAAUAAGGAAAAGAGCUGAUACGGAAUAACGGAUAGGAGAUUCGACUGACGGACACUGACGUGUACAGACGUGUUCUUAAAUCACGAAUAAAAGACACUUUGAUAAAUCGGACUUUUGCACAAUAUUCUUUUCGCCUCCGUCUGGCAUUCCAUACCGUAUAUAUUACCCAAAAAUGUGAAGGAAAUAAUCAGA